This 443-nucleotide ribosomal RNA is filed under the name uncultured bacterium. Its description in RNAcentral is "partial 16S ribosomal RNA". It matches the Rfam family "Bacterial small subunit ribosomal RNA", at positions 338 to 795 of the family's 1533-position model. The record is from RNAcentral.
CCUACGGGAGGCAGCAGUGGGGAAUAUUGGGCAAUGGGCGCAAGCCUGACCCAGCAACGCCGCGUGAAGGAAGAAGGCUUUCGGGUUGUAAACUUCUUUUCUCAGGGACGAAGCAAGUGACGGUACCUGAGGAAUAAGCCACGGCUAACUACGUGCCAGCAGCCGCGGUAAUACGUAGGUGGCAAGCGUUAUCCGGAUUUACUGGGUGUAAAGGGCGUGUAGGCGGGAAAGCAAGUCAGAUGUGAAAACCAUGGGCUCAACCUGUGGCCUGCAUUUGAAACUGUUUUUCUUGAGUACUGGGGAGGCAGACGGAAUUCGUGGUGUAGCGGUGAAAUGCGUAGAUAUUAGGAGGAACACCAGUGGCGAAGGCGGUCUGCUGGACAGCAACUGACGCUGAGGCGCGAAAGCGUGGGGAGCAAACAGGAUUAGAUACCCGAGUAGUC